This 468-nucleotide ribosomal RNA is filed under the name uncultured bacterium. RNAcentral describes it as "partial 16S ribosomal RNA". It matches the Rfam family "Bacterial small subunit ribosomal RNA", at positions 28 to 507 of the family's 1533-position model. The record is from RNAcentral.
GACGAACGCUGGCGGCGUGCUUAACACAUGCAAGUCGAACGGAAAGGCCCUGCUUUUGUGGGGUGCUCGAGUGGCGAACGGGUGAGUAACACGUGAGUAACCUGCCCUUGACUUUGGGAUAACUUCAGGAAACUGGGGCUAAUACCGGAUAGGAGCUCCUGCUGCAUGGUGGGGGUUGGAAAGUUUCGGCGGUUGGGGAUGGACACGCGGCUUAUCAGCUUGUUGGUGGGGUAGUGGCUUACCAAGGCUUUGACGGGUAGCCGGCCUGAGAGGGUGACCGGCCACAUUGGGAAUGAGAUACGGCCCAGACUCCUACGGGAGGCAGCAGUGGGGAAUAUUGCACAAUGGGCGGAAGCCUGAUGCAGCAACGCCGCGUGCGGGAUGACGGCCUUCGGGUUGUAAACCGCUUUCGCCUGUGACGAAGCGUGAGUGACGGUAAUGGGUAAAGAAGCACCGGCUAACUACGUG